GUUUCCACUUCUCUUCCUCUCUCAGCAUCUGUUCUUCUCUUCUUUAUUUCUGAUCUACUUUUCCUAGUCCCUACUUUGUCUUAUGUUUUAAAGAAAACUUGAUCAGAAAUAAAGAAAAGAAGAACAGAUUCUGAGAUAGGAAGAGAAGUGGAAAC
Non-coding RNA from Pelobates cultripes (western spadefoot toad), 155 nucleotides. Lineage: Eukaryota; Metazoa; Chordata; Amphibia; Anura; Pelobatidae. The record is from the annotation of a GenBank genome assembly.